Phrynosoma platyrhinos (Desert horned lizard) is the source of this 72-nucleotide non-coding RNA. The record is from the annotation of a GenBank genome assembly. Lineage: Eukaryota; Metazoa; Chordata; Lepidosauria; Squamata; Phrynosomatidae.
GCAAGCGUGGUAUAAUGGUUUGAGUGUUGGACUAUGAUUCUGGAGGCUAGGGUUCGAUUCCCAGUUCUGCCA